CCGGUUGUAUGUACAUGUACUUUCUUUGGAGACACCAUUUGUCUCCCAACAAAUCGGAAAAUGAUCAAGAUAGUGACUCUGAUUGAUUCACAUAUUGUAUUGACCGUGAUGACUGUUGACAUUGCUUUUCAGUCUCCAAUAUUUAAGUGAGUCGUGCUUUGGAAAUGACAAUAACUUUUUAUUACCCAACCCUUGAGUUGUUUUGUUUUUCAUUUACCCAACCUUUUAGUUACUCAAAAUUUAGUUUACCCAACCCUUUUCUCUUCGGUGCCACCCCCCACCAUAAAUAAUGACCGGUCCCUAAUAACGGUAGUUCAUAUAGUUUUUGUCGUAAACUAUAUCUAAAAGUGUAAAAUUUAAGUAUGAUUCUUGUCACAACCACAUCAAAGGCUAAUUUCCACUCAGGAAAAUUAUCCGUGGAUUGGAACGGACAAGUAAAUUUUU
This is a non-coding RNA of Paramuricea clavata, 444 nucleotides long. Lineage: Eukaryota; Metazoa; Cnidaria; Anthozoa; Malacalcyonacea; Plexauridae. The record is from the annotation of a GenBank genome assembly.